GCAAGCAUAUCUGGCUAGUCCAUAUGUUUCUUCUCUCUCCCAUUUUUUUUUCUUUGCCUUUCUUCUUUUCUUCGCCUUCAGCUUUCUUUCUUUCUUCUUUCUCCCUUUCUCCCUUUCUCCUCCCAUCCGAUAUACAAUCUCCACCCCAGCCCUACCUCCCUUCUGAUCUUUCUAUCAUUGAUUUCAGUCUUGACCCAGCCCAAUCCAAGUUCCUAUCGUCGACCCAACCCCCGUCCGAGCUUGGAAGCCUCGACCCAACCCCAUCCUCCAUUCCUCUGUGGGGUUUUUUCUUCUUCUUGGUUCUCCAUUUUAUUUUUGUCCCUCGUCUCACAAUAAUCACAAGGUUUGUGCCCGGGUUUUCAUUUUAGAUCUAAAGGUUUUCAUUUUUUGUCCGUUGAUGGUCCUUCAAGAAUGAGAGUAUCUGAUGUUUUUAUACAAAAUGUAAAGGUCGUCAAUUGUAUAAGACUCGAGAGUGUCUGUCAGAGUUGAAUCAUGAAAACAUAUGGGCAUUUUCGUCCUUGUAGUCUAAAAAGGGAAGGUCGAUCGAAGGAAGAGGAUUGAAAAAAAGACUAUGUUAAAAAUGCCCAAGUACUACACCACUAAUCUACUGAAAUUCAGAUGUGGAUUAAUGGCGAAAAUCAUCACCUCAUGGACUGAUGAUAACCCAGGGAGGAGAUUUGCCAUAUGUUAGUUAUUUGAGGAAGGAGUUGGGGGUGUGAUUUUCUGGGCUUGGGUUGAUGCUGAGAUGUGCAGUAGAUUGACACGGGUAAUACCAAGAUUGCUAAGAAGAAUAAACAAGUUGGAGGUUGAUGCUAGAAGUGCAAAGAAUACUAUGAAGGAGUUGAAGAUCGACAUUUGCAAGCUACUCCUUGAAUCGAAUACUACAAAGAGAAGAAUUAGACAAAUGCUCAUGGGGUGAUUGGUUGGAUAAUAUGAGUUGUCACGCGCGCGGCUUCCUCGCCAUCAAAUAAGUAGUUAAGGAAUGAGCAUCAAGCACUUGAUAAGAUGUGAUGAUAGUAAUGUGUAGUAUUUGUGUACUCCGUUUAGUAAUUAUACAGCAAUUUAGUGUUAA
Long non-coding RNA from Zingiber officinale, 1072 nucleotides. RefSeq lists it as uncharacterized. Lineage: Eukaryota; Viridiplantae; Streptophyta; Magnoliopsida; Zingiberales; Zingiberaceae. The transcript is spliced from 4 exons. The record is from RefSeq and is a predicted model, not a curated record.